RNAcentral lists this transfer RNA (65 nucleotides) under Homalosilpha kryzhanovskii. Its description in RNAcentral is "tRNA-Leu". It matches the Rfam family "tRNA". From Rfam's summary of the family: Transfer RNA (tRNA) molecules are approximately 80 nucleotides in length. Their secondary structure includes four short double-helical elements and three loops (D, anti-codon, and T loops). The record is from RNAcentral. RNAcentral also lists the same sequence under 1 other name. Lineage: Eukaryota; Metazoa; Arthropoda; Insecta; Blattodea; Blattidae.
ACUAUUUUGGCAGAUAAGUGCAAUGGAUUUAGAAUCUUUAAAUGUAGAUUUUUCUACAAUUAGUA